CCUACGGGGGGCAGCAGUGAGGAAUAUUGGUCAAUGGGCGUGAGCCUGAACCAGCCAAGUCGCGUGAGGGAUGACGGUCCUAUGGAUUGUAAACCUCUUUUGCCGGGGAGCAAAAAGCGGUACGUGUACCGCAUCGAGAGUACCCGGUGAAAAAGCAUCGGCUAACUCCGUGCCAGCAGCCGCGGUAAUACGGAGGAUGCGAGCGUUAUCCGGAUUUAUUGGGUUUACAGGGUGCGAAGGCGGCGUGUUAAGGCAGCGGGAAAAUUUCGGGGCUCAACCCCGCCGCGCCGUUGAAACUGGCUUGCUAGAGUGGGCGAGAAGUAUGCGGAAUGCGUGGUGUAGCGGUGAAAUGCAUAGAUAUCACGCAGAACUCCGAUUGCGAAGGCAGCAUACCGGCGCCCAACUGACGCUCAGGCACGAAAGCGUGGGUAUCGAACAGGAUUAGAUACCCGGGUAGUC
RNAcentral lists this ribosomal RNA (459 nucleotides) under uncultured bacterium. RNAcentral's name for it is "partial 16S ribosomal RNA". It matches the Rfam family "Bacterial small subunit ribosomal RNA", at positions 338 to 795 of the family's 1533-position model. The record is from RNAcentral.